RNAcentral lists this transfer RNA (57 nucleotides) under Myotis davidii. It matches the Rfam family "tRNA", at positions 8 to 63 of the family's 71-position model. From Rfam's summary of the family: Transfer RNA (tRNA) molecules are approximately 80 nucleotides in length. Their secondary structure includes four short double-helical elements and three loops (D, anti-codon, and T loops). The record is from Rfam by way of RNAcentral. Lineage: Eukaryota; Metazoa; Chordata; Mammalia; Chiroptera; Vespertilionidae.
UGGCUCAGUGGAUAGAGCAUCAGCCUAUGAACUGAAGGUCCCAGGUUCAAUUCCUGG